This 492-nucleotide ribosomal RNA is filed under the name uncultured bacterium. RNAcentral describes it as "partial 16S ribosomal RNA". It matches the Rfam family "Bacterial small subunit ribosomal RNA", at positions 29 to 507 of the family's 1533-position model. The record is from RNAcentral.
AGUGAACGCUGGCGGUAGGCCUAACACAUGCAAGUCGAACGGCAGCACAGUAAGAGCUUGCUCUUACGGGUGGCGAGUGGCGGACGGGUGAGGAAUACAUCGGAAUCUACUUUUUCGUGGGGGAUAACGUAGGGAAACUUACGCUAAUACCGCAUACGACGUACGGGUGAAAGCAGGGGUUCUUCGGACCUUUCGCGAUUGAAUGAGCCGAUGUCGGAUUAGCUAGUUGGCGGGGUAAAGGCCCACCAAGGCGACGAUCCGUAGCUGGUCUGAGAGGAUGGUCAGCCACACUGGAACUGAGACACGGUCCAGACUCCUACGGGAGGCAGCAGUGGGGAAUAUUGGACAAUGGGCGCAAGCCUGAUCCAGCCAUACCGCGUGAGUGAAGAAGGCCUUCGGGUUGUAAAGCCCUUUUGUUGGGAAAGAAAAGCAGCAGGUUAAUACCCCGCUGUUCUGACGGUACCCAAAGAAUAAGCACCGGCUAACUUCGUG